RNAcentral lists this ribosomal RNA (251 nucleotides) under uncultured bacterium. RNAcentral's name for it is "partial 16S ribosomal RNA". It matches the Rfam family "Bacterial small subunit ribosomal RNA", at positions 524 to 776 of the family's 1533-position model. The record is from RNAcentral.
GACGGGGGGGGCAAGUGUUCUUCGGAAUGACUGGGCGUAAAGGGCACGUAGGCGGUGAAUCGGGUUGAAAGCGAAAGUCGCCAAAAAGUGGCGGAAUGCUCUCGAAACCAAUUCACUUGAGUGAGACAGAGGAGAGUGGAAUUCCCGGUGUAGCGGUGAAAUGCGCAGAUAUCGGGAAGAACACCUAUGGCGAAGGCAGCUCUCUGGGACGGUACUGACGCUGAGACGCGAAAGCGUGGGGAGCGAACAGG